Molecule: non-coding RNA, 1570 nt
Organism: Anas platyrhynchos (mallard)
Lineage: Eukaryota; Metazoa; Chordata; Aves; Anseriformes; Anatidae
Source: RefSeq, a predicted model, not a curated record
UGCUGACGUCACGGCCCCGCGCGCCCGUCCCCAUGGCAACCGCCACUUCCGGCCCCGCCCCGCCGCUCCGCCAACAGCUUCCUCCCGCGCUCCUCACGUGACCGGAAGCGGAAGCGCCAUGGAGCCCCCGGGAGCGGCGGCGGGGCUCGCCCCCAAGCGCCGCGGCCCGGGCCCGGCCCCUCCGCGGAUGGCGGAGCCGCGGCCGCUCUUCGACGACACCAGCGGCGGGGCCGCCCCCCCCCCCCCCACGGCCCGGCCCGGGCCUACGGGGCCCCCCCGGCGGCCCCCCCGGCGUCCUCCGCAUCCCGCCUGCCCCCCCCCGCCGCCGCCUUCCUGGCCGAGCCCGUGUCCAGCCUGGCCGCCGCCUACGGCAGCAGCUUGGCCAGCCAGGGCCGGGACAUCGUGGACCGGAACGUCUGCCCCCUUCCAACUCAGGAUAUUGUAUGAUUCCAAGUGUGGAACCCAGCAUUUGGCCUUGAAUGCCACGCAGCUGGAUGCGGCCCGUUGAUCCAGCCUGUCCAGAUCCCCUUGCCCAGCUUGGUGUCGCCCACGAACUUACAGCGCCCGGUGGGGCCCAUCCAGCCCAGGCACGUGUCACAUGGGACCCUUGGUGACCUCCCUUGGUGACACCCCAGGGGUCCGCCUUAUAUGACUGCAGCUGUGGCUCGGACCCUCAGCGUCGGUGCACGGCAGUGACGGACAGGGCAGGAGCACUGGGCCUUCGAGGAGUCCCCGAGCAUAGCCCACGCCUGCCCGAAGGAGCCUCCGUUUUCUAUUUGAGAACUCUCCCACUCCAGAGGCUCCUUCUGAAUCUGAUGAGGAGGGAGGCAUGCCCCCCAGGCAGCCCAGGCUGGCCUGGCAGGAGACCUGGUCUUCUGAGGGCAGCAACCGGCCAGCAGAGGACAGCUUGCUGGCAGAGGACAGCACCCCGGUAGAGGACAUUUUGCCGGCAGAGGACAGAAGCCCAGCAGAGGACAGCUUGCUGUCAAAGGGCAGCAGCCCGGUAGAGGACAGCAGCCUGGCAGAGGACAGGAGACCAGCAGAGGACAGCUUAGUGGUAGAGAACAGAGGUUUGACAGAGGACAGCAAGAAGGAGUUUGCAGUUGCUGGAUCCCAGUGAGUCGUGAGUCCUCUCUGUACCCCUCCCUGCCACUGUAGGGGUGGACAAAAACACCACCUGAACUCCCACUCCAUCCACUACCCGUCCCAGUCCCCUAAAGUCCCGCUCGAUAGUCUUCAGGCUUCUAUCUUCAGUAGUAUCACUGCCGGCCUGGACUAUCAAAAGACGAUAGUAAUCAGAGGGGAAAACCAGGUUGGGAAGCUUUCUGGCAACGUCCAUGACCCUAGCCCCAGGGAGGCAGCAGACUUCCCUACGGGUAGGGUCAGGCUAACAAAUAGGGCCCUCUGUUCCCCUCACAAGGAAGUUGCCUUCUCAGGGGAACACAGGGAACUUCUCAGGGUCCUUGGUGGCCUCCAAGUUAGCUCAGCGUCAUGGCACCGAGUCACUGUGAAGGAGCUGCUGGAAUAACGAGACAACAACCUAGUUCUAUUAAAAUAUAUAUUGCUCUUU